Molecule: unclassified non-coding RNA, 1872 nt
Filed under: Dimorphilus gyrociliatus
Lineage: Eukaryota; Metazoa; Annelida; Polychaeta; Dinophilidae
Description: probable RNA polymerase II nuclear localization protein SLC7A6OS
Source: RNAcentral
GUCUCUUAGAGUCAACGGUUAUUCGUGAGUAUUUUUAUAUUCGUCGAAAGGAUAUCCUGAAUUUUGAAAAUAUGGCAACUAUCGUAAGAGUUAAAAGGCGGAGAGAUGAAAAACCAGCAGACUCUUUAGUCUUUAGUCGUAAAAGAGCUAGACUGGAAAAUGGCGUAGCUUCUAAAUCCGAAGAGGGUAUAAAAGAUCAAGAACAAGUGUUUAAAUUUGCCGGGACUGUUCAACCUGAGGAUAAGGUCGUACCGCAUGUUAAAUCGGCCAUUAAAAAAGAUAAAUUACAACGAGAAUAUAAAAGACAUGAGUUGGGCGAUUUUAAGGAAGAUAAUAGAGAUAUUAAGCAAUCGUCAAGCAAGUCCGGACGUUACAAAAUCGUCUCGGAAAAAAGAGCAAUCGAAUUAGAUAGCUUGGACGGUGAACUUGAAACUGAAAAAAAAAAUCUAGACAACAAGUAUACUCUUCUCGAUAUAACCACCGACGAUAAGAAAGAAACUGAGGAAAAACUCGGAUGUAACGGCGAAGAGAUGAUUCGAACCCAGUCAGAUUUGGAAUACGUUUACGAUGUCUACUAUUAUAAUAAAGGAGAUUUUGGAGAUCCUCGAAUAGAUGAAAUAUUGGAUAUCAGACCUGUAUUUAACGAUGUAAUUUUAAAUCAAUAUAGGUGCGGUGACGAUAGCGAUGAUCAAGCUUAUGAAGAUGAUGACGACAGCAAUGACGAAGGAAACUAUCGUAACGACUAUCCUGACGAGGAUCCUCAUUAUAUUGAUCCUGAAAAUUUUGAUGACGAUGUAGAAGAUGACGAUUAUACGAAAUACGUGCAGAGUUACUACGACGAAAGUGAAAUAACUCAGGCAAUGAAGGAAUGGACUAUAGAAGCUAGUCCUGAUCACUCAGACGUUAGUGAUGACGAUAGAGGAGGAAAAGUGUCAUAUGAAGAUUAUAAAUCUCGAGUUAUGAAAGAACUCGGAAUGGAUAGCUAAACCUGCUAUUUCAGCAACCUUAGAAUAAAAACUUGCGCUAUUGUUGUGUGAUGCAUGCAAAAACAAAGAGAAACAUUGGCUCCAUUAUCAUCUUUUUAACACGCUAUAUACAAGUAUAUAUAAUUUCGAUCUCAGAGGAGCUUUUUGCCUAGCUGCUUGCCAACCGUUUCAGUAGUUCUAAUAUCUCAUAAAAAAAAACUUUUGUACUGAGGAGAAAGAUGAAUUUAUCAAAUCUUAAUGAAUUUCCCCCGGAAGCUGGACCACCACAACCUCCACCGCAAAGUUCUCAGAAUAUGAAAGACAUUGUCAUUGGUGUUUCAACAGCUUCAGCACUAAUCUUAAUAAUUGGUUUAAUUGGUAAUACACUAAGUUUUAUUGUUUUCAGUAGAAAUUCAAUGGCAGAUUCGACCACAUCUGUUUAUUUAAGAUUUUUGGCUGUUGUCGAUUCGUUAAGUUUAAUAUUUAAUUGUAUCUUUAUGACUUUGAAGUUUUAUGUUGGCUUUGUGGAAUUAUCUCAACCAUUUUUAAAAUACUUUGUAUGUGCAUUCAUUUUCCAUGGUAGCUUGUCAUUUAGUGAGGGGAGUUCUUGGCUAAUUGUUGCCAUGACAAUUGAUAGAAGUAUCUAUAUAUUCCUACCAACAAAAUCUAAACUAAUAUGUACAAAAUCUAGAUCAUCAAUUGUAUGCAUUUCUAUAAUAUGCAUAUUUGUGAUUUUCUUUCAUCCUUACUAUUACAUAACUGGGCAGGUUGACGUAAUGAGAAAUCCGAAAAAUAAAUGGGAAACUGGUUUAUUCUGUAGUGGAAUUUCAGAAUCGGCUAGAAUAUUCUUAUACGAUGUUUUAAUACCUUUCGACGCUCUUAUAUCGACAAAGAAGAGACAUGAUUU